This 490-nucleotide ribosomal RNA is filed under the name uncultured bacterium. RNAcentral's name for it is "bacterial SSU rRNA". It matches the Rfam family "Bacterial small subunit ribosomal RNA", at positions 215 to 697 of the family's 1533-position model. The record is from RNAcentral.
UCACUAAGAGAUGGUCCCGCGGUGCAUUAGUUAGUUGGUGAGGUAAUGGCUCACCAAGACGAUGAUGCAUAGCCGAGUUGAGAGACUGAUCGGCCACAAUGGGACUGAGACACGGCCCAUACUCCUACGGGAGGCAGCAGUAGGGAAUCUUCCACAAUGGGCGAAAGCCUGAUGGAGCAACGCCGCGUGUGUGAUGAAGGGUUUCGGCUCGUAAAACACUGUUGUAAGAGAAGAAUGACAUUGAGAGUAACUGUUCAAUGUGUGACGGUAUCUUACCAGAAAGGAACGGCUAAAUACGUGCCAGCAGCCGCGGUAAUACGUAUGUUCCAAGCGUCAUCCGGAUUUAUUGGGCGUAAAGCGAGCGCAGACGGUUAUUUAAGUCUGAAGUGAAAGCCCUCAGCUCAACUGAGGAAUUGCUUUGGAAACUGGAUGACUUGAGUGCAGUAGAGGAAAGUGGAACUCCAUGUGUAGCGGUGAAAUGCGUAGAUAU